CUGGGUAAUUAAUAAACCUGUGCAUGA
RNAcentral lists this non-coding RNA (27 nucleotides) under Rattus norvegicus (Norway rat). Lineage: Eukaryota; Metazoa; Chordata; Mammalia; Rodentia; Muridae. The record is from RNAcentral.